This 414-nucleotide ribosomal RNA is filed under the name uncultured Funneliformis. Its description in RNAcentral is "partial 28S ribosomal RNA". The record is from RNAcentral. Lineage: Eukaryota; Fungi; Glomeromycota; Glomeromycetes; Glomerales; Glomeraceae.
GAGAGUUAAACAGUACGUGAAAUUGUUGAAAGGGAAACGAUUGAAGUCAGUCAUACCAACGGGAAAUCAACCUUUUGAGCUCGGUCUCGUGGGUUUUGAAGAGUUUCAAAGCCUUCGGAUUCGUGAGAUUGGGAUCUCUUGGCGUACUUUCUCGUACGGUUAGUCAACAUCGGUUUUGAAUGUCAUAAAAUGACUGGAGGAAUGUAGCUUCGAUCUCGUAUUGAAGUGUUAUAGCCUUUGGUAGAUGUGAUGUUUGAGACCGAGGAUUGCAACGGAUACCCUUCAGGGCUAUUCGUCUGAUCUCUGAUACGUUGCCUUGAUGUUGAAAGCUUGCUUAUGAUGUUAGGGUAUUACGGUCAAAAGGUUAGAACGAAUUACAUUCGUUAAGGAUGUUGACGUAAUGACUUUAAACGA